GACGAACGCUGGCGGCGUGCUUAACACAUGCAAGUCGAACGGAAAGGCCUGCAGCUUGCUGCGGGUACUCGAGUGGCGAACGGGUGAGUAACACGUGGGUGAUCUGCCUUGCACUUCGGGAUAAGCUUGGGAAACUGGGUCUAAUACCGGAUAGGACAGCUGUUUAGUGUCAGUUGUGGAAAGUUUUUUCGGUGCAAGAUGAGCUCGCGGCCUAUCAGCUUGUUGGUGGGGUAAUGGCCUACCAAGGCGUCGACGGGUGGCCGGCCUGAGAGGGUGUACGGCCACAUUGGGACUGAGAUACGGCCCAGACUCCUACGGGAGGCAGCAGUGGGGAAUAUUGCACAAUGGGCGGAAGCCUGAUGCAGCGACGCCGCGUGGGGGAUGAAGGCCUUCGGGUUGUAAACUCCUUUCGACAGGGACGAAGCUUUUGUGACGGUACCUGUAGAAGAAGCACCGGCUAACUACGUG
This 468-nucleotide ribosomal RNA is filed under the name uncultured bacterium. RNAcentral's name for it is "partial 16S ribosomal RNA". It matches the Rfam family "Bacterial small subunit ribosomal RNA", at positions 28 to 507 of the family's 1533-position model. The record is from RNAcentral.